This is a long non-coding RNA of Columba livia (rock pigeon), 38873 nucleotides long. RefSeq lists it as uncharacterized. The transcript has 4 exons. Lineage: Eukaryota; Metazoa; Chordata; Aves; Columbiformes; Columbidae. The record is from RefSeq and is a predicted model, not a curated record.
CCUCAAGUGAGUGAAGAAUCAGUACUCUUCUUUCCUAUAAUUAUACCCUUCCAAAGGGAUUAUCUAUGGGCUCCUGCUGGGGUCAGGAUGUUGGGCUAUGUGGCCCUUUGAUGUGGCCUAGUAUGGCAGAGCUUUGGCUCUGCUGUGUCUGUUGUGGAGGGAGGAAUAUGGCACCAGGACAAAUGGACUGAAUUAAAUUGCAGUGAAACAGAGUAUCCACCACCGAUUUCCUUUGAAGAAGUGCUGCUCUCCUUUUAUAAGGAAGGUGUAAGAGUGUAUGAGGAUGUAAAAGAAUUCAGAUUAUGCAUUGCCUCAUCCUGAGGAGUUCAAACACACACCUUCCAUCUCUAAGGGAAUUUCCUCCCUAACAGGCUGGAAUUAAACCUAUUCUCCAAAUAAAUAUUUAAUCUGACUUUUGAGUUGCAUUUGGAUAUCUCUUCAUUAGCAAGCAAGGCAGCAGAACAGGAGCAGAUCUGUAGAGUGAGGGAAAAGGAACACAGUUCAUGUGCCAGAAAUGUCCCCAGGGCGUGAACCACAGUGUGGUAAGAGAAGCAGGGGAGGGUUUCAUUGCACAGCUAUGACCCUGAUAAAACGCUUCAUGCUAAUAUGGACAUAUUCUGCCGGAGUCUGGUUCUCAGCCCUGUGAGUGAACAGACCAGACAUUAAUAGAUGGACAACCUCAUGCUUCUUUUCUCCAAUACAAUAAUGCUUCAGCUUGUUUUUUUUUUUUUUUCUUUUGUAGCAUAAUAAAAUUUGAACAGAAGGAGGAAUACAGAAUAAUCUAUAACCAAGUAUCUAGAACAGUGGGACCAAGAGCCAUUUCAGCUUCUAGCAGCUGAAACAUUAUCCUAUUACAUUUUCUUCACUGACUUGCAUUUUCUAGCAAGAUGUUAACCUAAACUCCAUUUUCACUCCAGUGAAAAUGUAGUUCUUUAUUCUAUUAUCAUUUUUGCAGUAUUUAUACUGCAGUUUAAAGACUCAUUUGAGGUUAAACCUCUAUUGCCUGUAGAGGCUGGACAAAUACUGCUGAACAAUUACCCCUGCCACAUUUGCAGAUGUUUACAGACACAGGUGCUGUCUAAAUUGGUAGCCAUUUCCCUACAAGAUACUUAACUCCUGUUUUGUUUUGUUUUUAAUUAUUUUUUGAGCAUUUUGUUUUAGGUCUUCUGUUAGUUUUUGGUGUUUUUUUGGUGUGUGCUGUUUGUGGUGGUGGUUCUUUUGUUUGUUUUUUUUUUUGUGGGUUGUGGGGUUUUGUUUGUUUGGUUUUUUUUGUGUGUGUUUUUUUUUUUUUUUUUUUUUAACUGACAGCAAUUUUCAGAUUAUUUUUCAUGGCAUAGUCCAUUACCUAGAUUCUUUAAAAAGAUCACUCAAGAGUAGUAUAAAACAUCUUUUCAGAUUAGUUGCUUUGCUUCCAGGAAGUAAGACGGUGAAGUGCAGCCAGAGCACACCCCAAGUUCCCAACUGAUCCACAGGAACAAUGAGGGCUUGGGACACAACACAAUGCUCAUUGCAUUAAGUGAGGAAAGCAUCUAAACUUCUCUGAAGGCUUCCCAUAGUAACCAGCCAUCUAACCUGUGUUAUUAUCUACUUUUUACCUGCUACUAAUUUUUCCUUAUGGAGAGGAAGCUGUCCGGGUGACAAAAUAGUGCAGUCCUCUCAGUUUGGAUUUCAGUGGAGAAAUGAGCUGGCUAAUAUAUUUUUCCUUUAAUAUGCACUUAAAAUAACUUAAAGAAUUUGCUUUUAAUUGCUCCUUAAUAAUAGUUCUGUAUGACCUGUAGCUGAAAACACUUUUCUGUCAUAUUUCUCCUUAAUUACAGUGUUAGCUUUUUCCUCACAGUGUAAUCACAUGAAACAAAGACAAAUGCUGGAUUCUGCAUCUGAGGCUGUGUAAUCCUGGGUGCCUGGACAUAUUUAUAGGCUGGGAGACAAGAGGCUGGUGUGCAGCCCUACGGAAAGGGACCCUGGGGUUUUGGUUGUUGUUAAGCUCAAUACAAGCCAACAGCAUGCCCUCAGAGCCAAAAGGGCCAACCAUCUCCUGGGGUGCAUUAAGCACAGUAUAGAUAACAGGUCGAAAGUAGUGAUUGUCCCACUAUUCCUUAGCAUUGGUGCUGUGUCAACUGGAGCACUCUGUGCAGUUUUUGGGCUCCAUAAUACAAGCAGGGUAUAAAGAUAAAAUGUGUUUAAAGGUGGGCAACAAAGACAGUGAAAGAAGUAGAGGGCAUGACUUAUAAGGAGUGAGUGACAAUACUAGGUUUGUUCAGCCUAGAGGAGACUGAGGUGUGAUCUCAUUCCUGUCUACAGCUUCCUCAUGGUGCGGAGCACAGAUGGAGGUGAUGAUCUCUUCUCUCUGGUGUCUGGUGUUAGGACGUGAAGGAACGGCUUAAAGCUGCAUUGAGGAAGUUCAUAGUGGGUAUUAAAAAAAAAGUUUUUUACUGAGGGGAUGAUCAAGUGCUAGAACAAGCUCCCCAGGGAAGUGAUUAUGGCCCCAAGUCUGUCAGUGUUCAAGAAGUGUUUGAACAAUGCUCCCUACAUACAUGGUUUAACUCUUAGGUUGCCCUGGGUGGAGCUGGGAGUUAUGGGAAUAUGACUCAUGAGUCCCUUCCAGCUCAGGAUAUUCUGUGGUUCUGUGAUUCAAAUACCUAUCUUUUAAAACCUUCAAAAGGGACUUCAUCCUAUUUUGAAUAUGUUUCUUAUAUAUUUGUUUCAUUAUAUAAUAAAAAUACAAAGAGUCAUUUGAUUAAACCUUCAUUAACUACAAUUCUUCAGCCUUUCUAAAAAUGACAACAGUACUCAGGAAAAUAUUUAAUAUUAAAAAUAUUUUAUCUGCUCUUAAAUCCAAGAUGUAUUUCACCUUUCAAGAGACAUAAUCUCACAGUGAAAUAAAACAGUAGUCUGAAGAUAGUUUAACUAAUAUUUACAGCCUUUUGUGUAUAUAUAUUUGUUUGUUUCUAAAUAAUAUAGUUACUAUUUUCUGUAAACUAUUCUGUACAGUCUCAGGGAAUAUAAAUGUCUUUUUUCAAGAGUAUGCUAUCUUAUGAAAAGUUAUAGCAACCUCAUGGACAAGUAGAAGUAAUUACUUCAGAGUAAUUACUGAGAUACCCCCCGAUUUACAGAAUUUUGGAAAUUGAUAAGUACACACAUACAGCAAAACCUCUGAAAAUGAAAGUAAAGCAAUAUAGAAUGUACUUUUUAAAUUUCAAUUUAUGCCUACUUAUAAGAAAUACUUUUGUGUUUAUUGCUGCUUGUAGCAUUUCCACAUAAAAUUAAUUUACAGUGAAGUUUGUUCUAGUAAUUAAUAUAAGCCUUAAAAACACUGAAGAAGAAACUAUCAGAAUUCAAGCUUGGAAUAUAAAAACCUAUAUAAAUGUUAGGAUAGAUAUUUUCUAAUUUAUAACAUAUUUUGCAAAUUAUUUUUUUUCUACAAAUUUUAGUAAGAAUUUUAACUCCAUCUUAUUUUAAAAACAUUUGUAAAAUACCUAACUCUACUCUAGAAAUAGAUUUUUGUGAAAUAUAACUUUUAUUAGACAUGCAGAUAUAGACAAAGAUCUUUAAAAUUUGCAUAGUUUCAUUGAAAUCUCUUUAACAUUAAGCAGCUAAGAAACAAGGCCCUUGAAAUCUAUAGUUAAUGAAAAUGUCACUAAUUAGAUUGAUUUAAAGCAGUUCCUGUUCAAUUUCAAAACCAGCUGUUUAUAUAACAAAAGGUAAGGAAGCGUAAAUCCUAAGAGUUCAGUGGAAUGAAAAUGCUGAGAUAUAGUAAUAGUUCAUGGAUAAGACUAGCAUUUACAUUAUAAGUCAGCAUGUGAAGUUCUUUGAAAUUAAAUAAUUAAAUCCGUGUAGUGUCAAAGUCAAACUACACUUACAAAGAAAAGAUACCUAUGUGAAAAAUUUUUAAUUAGAUUGAAAGGAUAGAGAAAGAGAGGGAAGAGUGACAAGUCAAUUCUUUUUCCAAAUUGCUUUAGUUUAGGCAGUUGAUCAUGUAACCUUUAGCUGUGUCUAUAUUCUCUUUCAAGUGAGUCUCCAAAGGCAAGAGGAGAUAGAUUUUAAUUUAUGGAAUUCAUGCUUGCUUGGAUGAGGCUGGAUACAGUUUGUCUCCUAUAGAUAUUCUUUUAUAAUUCUAGAGACCCUAUUUCCUUUGUUGUCAGGUUUUUCCCUCCCCAUUUGCAUGAUUGGACUUGGAUUUGGGAAGACAAAAAAAACCUUGCUACCAUUGUGUCUCUUCCUCCUCACUGUUAUUAAUACUGUAUCUUGCUUCUGAAGAUGAGAUAUUGUUGCGGUCAUUGUGAUUUUACCAUUCUAGACAGUUUAUUUACUCCUUCUAGGUAUUUUUUAAUUUAUCUCUUUAAAGAAAGUUAUUUUUUUCCAUCAAUGUCAGGCAGAAGACAUAGAAAAGAACAGUCCUUAACAGAGAAUGCUCAAGUCCUUGGUUUCAGCUAAGUAUCUCAGGAAAAGCAGAAUUUUAUCUGUUAAUUUUAACUUGAUUUAGCUUCAUUGCUUUUCUCGCUAUUUAAUUACUACAUUCACAUUUAUUGUAAUUAUGUUUUCCUUAAGGACGGUACUCUUGCCUCAGCAGCAUUUUGGUACUUCAGCGCUUCCCCACUACAAAAGAGAUACCAUUUGCUUUCAAGAGCAGUGGCUGCUUGAAUAGUCAGAUAAACUUGCAUACAACAGAGAAUUCUGAGCAUAACAAAUAGCUUAAAACAUCUUUAUUGCCACUCAGCCUCAGUGACAUUACUAGAAAAACAAGGUCUGCAUUUUAUCCUGCUUCUCAUAAUUUUCUUUCCUUAUUGUUUUGAUUUAUAUUAAGCAUACCUUUCACAGUAAAAUUAUGACUUAUAACCUACCACUUUACUAAUAAUGCCUUUUUUGAAAGUCACGUCCAUAUAUGUUAUUCUAAUUCAGAACAAGAUGGCUUCUAGAAAGCCUAAAACUACACUUCACUUUCGCAUUACUUGUAUGUGUUAGAUAAUAUGAUGGUAUGAAGAUACUAAAACUGAGUAUGGAAUAAAUGCUUUUGAACUCAUGGGAGACUUGUAACUUUAUCGGUAUGAAGGACUCUCUAUUGAUAUAAAAGUACUGUGUUAGAUGCUUGAGAACUGAACUGUAAAUUGGGAAAAAAACUGUAUUCUACUACUUCUGGUUACGAAGUUAUUGAAGUACCUUAACAGUGGAUUUCUCCCACACUGCUUGCAGUUGCAGUAAUCAUUCAAAAUACAAAAGCAUUUACUGAUUAAUAGAAUAAAUAGUAUUUAAAAUAUUGGAUAAUUCGAGUUACCUCUCUCUCAUGUAAAGAUCAUGGACUCCUGUAGUUUGACUCUUGGAGUUACCAAAACAAAAAGUUUCAAUCAAGUUCUAGUUUUCUGCAGAAGAGUGAAGAUAGCAGGUUUUUAACCUGCUGCUCUUCUGGAGACUAUGCCAUUGUUGUGGUUUAACCUGAGUUAGCAAUACAACUGCACUGUUUCCUCCCACUCUGCCCUGCCCAGUAGGGAAGAAAAUCAAAAGGGAAGGGAGAAACUUGGAUUGAGAUACACGCAGUUAAAUAAAAUAACAAAAUACUAAUAUGCUACUAGUAAAUAUAUAUAUAAAAUAGAAUAGAAAAUGAAAGAUACUUAAUGCAAUUCCUCACAGAUUCUGUCCACACUGAGCAGCCACUCCCAGGAAGAAGCACCUGGUCCCAACAGCCGAUCCUGGAGAGAAAAAAAAGGAAAAAAAGGCAGAAAAGGCCCAGAAAUCCCCACAAAAUGGCAGAAUGGAAAAGGAUGACCUAAAGAUCCCAAACAGAACUCCCCCCUGCCCCAACAUAAAGAGCAAAGAAAGUGAAGAGAAUGUAAGAGAGCCUGGAAGAUCCCAACUCUCAUUAAUUAUGAAGCAUGAUGCUAAUGGGAUGGAAUACUCUUAUUAAUCAGUCUAAAUGUCAGUCAAGCUCUGCUCCAUCCAUGCCCCCCUUCCUUGAUUCCUCACACCUGUGGGCAGAGCUCAGUCUGUCCUUGGCUUUCAGAUUAGAGCAAUUAAAAACAUUAACUCUGUCUCAGGAUGUUAUCUCUUGUUCUCAAACUAAGUCCAAAUAAUGAUUGUGCUGGCUAUGAAAAAGAAAGGUUUCUAACUGCAUGAAGAAAAUUAACUCAUUUUUAACCAAACCAGCACAACAAUCUUAUUUUUUUUUUUACUCCUUUUGAUUCUGAAUUCAUGAGCAAAUGCAAAUAUUAAACAAACAAACAAACAAGACAACACCUCUCCUCCAAACCACAAGCUAGUUUGAAGUGUCUGUUGAAAAAGAUGCUCUAAUUAACUUUGGUUUCAGAGAAAGUGCCUAAUGAAAUUAAGAUUACUUCAUUCUGGUUUUUAGAAAAGGCUAACUCUGUUUUACAGGCUCUGCUAUAGAGAGUAAAGUGAUUUCUCAUCUUCAAUGGCACUAUUUUCCAAACCUGUCUUUUCAGGGAAAACAGACAGAAUCUGCACAGCUCACUCUAUUCAUCCUCACAUCAGUGGUUACAAUCAUAUAUAAUUGCUUUAAGAAGAACUCCUCAGAGGAUGCUUAUUCAAGUGCUGCCUCUAUCUGCAUUAUAUUUGAGUGUAGAUAUUACUGUUAUGUGUCAAGGAUGGUGGUGCACAGUGUUUGGGUAUUUCUCUAGAGGGUUUCAGAGUUUUACUUGGGUAAAGUACAAAUAAAAAACAGCAAAGAAAAAUCAGUGUUGUAAGCCUACUAUUAAAUCCUUGUUAUAGUAUCCUAACUAUUUAAUUUUGAAUUCUGUAGGUAAAAUUAUUUUCUCAGCAUACCAGUUUUCCAAGACCACUUUAGUUUUUGAUAGCUAAAUAAUUAUGCAUUUAGAAAAAUUGAAUAUAUUAAACAGGAACUUUAAUUUUACUAUUUUUCCAUCUGCCUGUGCGGGAAAAACAAAAUAAAAAGUUUUCAUCUGAAUGAUAUCCUGUGCCAUAACAUUUCAGUGUCUUCCUGGAACUUUAUUAUGAAACCUAGAUUAUCCAUAUGAAUAUAAACAGUUUUAGAAUGUUUGCGUCUGACAUAUAAUUAAGAAAUUACAUUUUUAACCCACAUAUUGGUUUAAUAUUGCAUGUAUGACUCAGAUAUUUAGAAAUACUAGUAAACAGAAUUGAAUUAUUUCCCUUUCAGUGGUUCAUUGCCCAUCAGAGUGAGUUCAAUUUAUUUUUUUCUGAUUUUGAAUCUAACAUAUAUAUACAUAAAUGCUUAUUACUUAUAGCUGUGGAAGAUUCUGUUUUGCUCCUAGCUCAAAACAAUGUAUGACUGAAAAACUGCUGUAAUAUUGUUAGAAACUUCUCUUUUUCUUUUAGAUUGAUACUAGUAUUGUUAGCUACAGUAAUAAGUUGUUUACAGAACUGCAGUACAACAGAACUGAGAAGGUAGCUUUUUCUCUUUUACUUUGGCUGCACAUCUGGUGGCCACUAACAACCAAGCAUUCUGAUGUGUUGUUCGUCUAUGCUGAGAUUGCAUGAAGGAUUUUGCCACCUGUUUAAUUUUUAUUCACUGUUUUAAAUACAUAUUUAGAAGGAGAGCUUUUAAUAUAUUUGAGUUAAAUGUGAAGGACAUUGAAUCAGGAUGUGUAGUUCAGCAGGCAGAGCUUGUAAAAUAUACUAAAUCCCACAAUUUUAAUCUCAUGAGAUUUCUUCAGUCAAGGAUUGCUUGCAGUUAUUUGGAACUGCAUAUUUGUUUACAGGCACUGAAUACUUUGCUGACCAAGUCUCUAUUUGAGGAAGUAUAGCUGAAAUUUUCCCCUCUGAUGUUUGAAGGCUUGCAUUUUUAGAAUUGGUGGGAUCCCCCACUCUGGACCUGCUAUUGAUUAUCCACAAGGUGAUACUGAUUAUUCCUCAUUAAUCUGAAAUCUUGGUUACAGAGACUCUGAAGAUAAUGAAGGGAUAAAUCCACUUCUAAACUUUAAGAAAAUGUGGUUAGAGAGCUAAUUUCUCUCUGUCAUCUGUGUGGCAAAAGGAACAAGAGCAAGUCUUCUAACACAUGCUUGAAGAAUCUAUAGGAGAAAUCUAGUUUACGUAGCUCAAGUAAAGAAAUAUCAUCAUAAUUUCAAGUAUCCAGUCAUAUUGGUAUUAUAAUUAAAAUAAUGCUGAAAUUUCUUAAGUAGUUAAUAUAAUACUAGAAAACAUUUUAUCCAUCUGAAAAAAGUAACUUUAUCACAGAAUGGCUGGGGUUGGAAGGGACCUCUGGAGAUCAUCUAGUCCAAUGCACCUUCUAAAGCAGGUUCACCUAGAGUAGAUUUCACAGGAAUGUGUCCAGCUGGGUCUUGAAUGUGUCCAGAGAAGGAGACUCCACAACCUCUCUGGGCAGCCUGUUGUAGUGCUUUGGCACCCUCCAAGUAAAGAAGUUUUUUGUCCAUAAGAAGUAUAGUUCAUUAAGCUAGACCAAAUUUGGUUAACUCAAUCUAAAGUACAGUAUCUAUUUUCUUUCAUCACAGACAAAAAUCACCAUUUAUAGUUGGUUGAAACUGGAAGACAGCUAUCUCAGUGCAGAUCUAAAAAUAGUAGAAUAUUCUUUAACUGAAGAAUGAGAUAGAGACUACAGGGAAUAUUGGUCCAAAGUCUUCCUCUUCACCAACAGAGGCAUCUUAUUUCUCUCAAGUGAUUUUCACAGAGUUGUUUGUGUGGAGAAUUACCUACAGAAUGUUAAUUUUUGCCUCAUAUACAAUCUUUUGAUCAGUUUCUACCGCAGAACAGACUUUCUAUCUUUGUGUCUGGCAUCCAAAAAAGAAUUUGUUUUCAUGCUGUAACACUGUCAUUCAAACAAUUGUAGUAGUAUACUUGUAGGGCUACUUAGAUGUUUUCUCCCACUUCCUGGAACCUAUACUAAAUCAGAUACAGUAUCCAUUCCUGGGGGUGGGGGAAAAAAAGAAGUUUCUCUCAUCUUGUUUAACCUUUGAAAUUUUAAAUGCUACUUUAAGAUCAUAUGUUUGUGCUUGGUAAAAAGAUCAGUAGAAUUUAAACUGUUGCCUUGGAAAUAUUACAGAAUUUGUCCAGUUGGCUGUACCACUCCCUGUUUUCAUUUUCUUCCACAUAAUUAGAAGGAAAUAGAAGGACAGCUCAGUUUACUUCACAGAACUCCAUGAGACAAAAUAUUUCAAAUUGGUAGCCAGUCAUCUAAAUUUCAAAGUAUUUUGAAAUCUAAAUAUGUUUUUAGAUUUAAUUUUCUCUUCUCAACAACCUACAGAGAGGACUACCUAUUUAUUUAGCCUGAGAAUGCAGGGUUCUCACAAGGUGCUCAAAGUUGGAUCACUAUGUAAACAAUACCCAGUUUUGCUCUUUCUGAAACAAACAAAUAAAGAUAUAUUUUUACUUGAAAUAGUGAUUAAUUAACUUGCAAGUGAAAUGCAUCAUGAAGGGACAAGCAAAGACAUUAAGCAGUUUGGUGAUUUAAUACUAGUUUAUAACAGGUUUUAAUAUCUGAAAAAAAUAUAAUAUUCUUAAUGAAAAAUGGCACAAGAUCUUUCUUUUAAAAAGUUACCUAAUGACUAUAGGAACAAUAGAUAUGUUUUUUAAUAUUAAGACUUGAGAUAUUUCAGUACAUAAUACUUGGACAUCUUUUCCCAGAAGCUCGAUUUAUACCACUGUACAUAAAAUAAUAUGAAUGUCAUCAUUCAGGAGACACAGUGUCCAGAAUCUACCCUCAGUAGCAACUAAAUAACAGGUAACACUGGCACUGGCAUGUUCUUAUCUGGGGUCACAGGUGUGCCCAUGAUUUUAAAAUCCAGUCUACUGCUCUGUGUUUAUUUGUAUUGGAGUAUCUUAAUUAACUUUACCAGUUAUACUAAAUUAAUUAGGUCCUCUGUGAACAAAAUCAUGACACCUGCUCUUCUUUUUUUUUUUUUUUCCUUCUCUUUAUAGUUCAUAUUAAAAUUUCUAAUCUUUCCUUGACUCAGAAGGCUAAGUAUGAUGUAUUAGCGCAUAUGUUCCUUGCAAUGAUUUGAACUCUGAACAAGGAAACGAAUCAGAGUGGACCUCAUUUGGAAAAAAUGUGAACUUCAGGAAUGAAAUCCUGCUGAUUUCACCUGCUUUAACCUGGGUUCCAUCCAAGAUCUUGUGUGUUCCCAUGUGCUGAGUACGGAUAAUAAAAGGACAGGUUGUAUGUGCUUCUUAUUACAAUGCAACACUGACUCAGCGUCCUCAGCAGUUUAGAAACAACUGCAUUCUACUUAGGUGGUGGAAUAACUUAAUGAAAAGCUAUUUCAACAUAUUUUGUAAUUAGAAAUAUACUUUUGUGAUAGGCAAAUUUAAAUUCACCUGCAUGUGCAGAACUCAAUUUAAUUAUUACAUAUAAUGCACAUAAUCCAGGCCAUGGAGGAUGUUAACACCUCAUUUUAAAGAGAACCUGACAUGUUAUGACAAACUUAAUCUUAUCUAAAGCUUUUUUAUCUAAAGUCCACCAUAUCUCUGUCUGAUAAUACUCUACCAAUUUUUGUUUGAUUUUGCUUUUUUUUCCUUUUUAAAAAUUGUCUAAUAUCUUGUUAAAACAACACUAUUAGAAAAAGUAAUAAAAUAUUUCAGAUUAUGCAUAAUGGUUAAUUUUAAACUUGUGUGAGACAUUUUAAUUAUCAAGUAAACAGAAGAUACAUCAAGCUUUAUUCUGAGUUACAGAGACAUCAUUAGCAAAGUUGCAGGAACAUUCAUUCCCUCUCAGCAGGAAACAGGCACAUUAAUUGUCCAUUUGAAAUUAAAGCCUGUGUAACUCAAGUAACUAUAAAGCACAGCUUUAAGGACUCACAUUUGGCUAAAAAUUCCUUUGACCUUUCCUCAAAAAUUCACAUUUUAGCCUCUGUUGAAAAAUAUUUUUAUCUGAAGCAUCAAAAUAGUUAUUUUUCUGGCAUCAAAAUUAUGUUUUUCUGAAGUAUCUAGCAGAAGUAAUUAAAACACUGAAAGAGUUGAUGAAAUUGAUUAUUCCGUAAGAUAUUAGAGGAACAAUGUCAUGCACAAGGUUACUUAAAAGUGCCUGAAGUAUUGGACUUUGUUGUUUGUAACUGUUACACUCUCAAAUAAGACAAUAGCAUUUUUGUAAGACGCACAGUUUAAUUUGCAUUUUGUAAUUGCAUUGGUAUUUAUUUUUCCAAAGGACAACAGCAGAACCUUAUUAGUUGUAAAUAGUACUAUCUGUAGUACACAUAGUACUAAUAGAUGUAUAAAAUAUGUGGUGAAAAGGAUGAAGGAUUAUAUGUAGGAAGUUGGGUGAUUGAAUAUUUUCCAGAAAUCCUGGAUGAAACUGUCAAAUGUUGGUCUUAGAUUCACCUAAUUUACUCAGUUCUGGGCAUUUAAAAGGCAACUUAUUUAGGAACUUUAUUGUUUUUAAAGCUGAUGGGUAAUCUGAAAUUCUUUCACUGCAGAAAUCAAAGACAUUUAUUGAUGUUUAAUAUUAACUACAAUGCUAUAUUUCAGAGUGUUCAACACUCAGUACCUCCGAUGUAAUUGAUACAAUACUCAGAAACUCAAAAUGACACAUGCAAGAAGAAUCUGUUCUUCACCACUGAUCUUUUUAAAAAUUAAUAGUACCUCUAUAGUUGGAGAGUGUUUAUCAAAACCUUUUUUGGCUACAUGUACCCCUCUGUCUAUUCGGUUUCUGGGAUGAGUGUGCCUAAAAGACAAAUGCAUGCUCUACCUGUUUAGAAAUUGGCAUACAUCUUUUAUUGAUAUUGAGACUUGCUGAGGCUUGUUGAUGACAGAUACAAAGAAACGUUGGAUAACAACACAGAUUGAAGAAAUUUUCAGUGCAGAAGUGUCCUGAAAUAGUUUUAUCCACAGGGAGGUUCACAACAUCUACUUUAAGUUUCUGAUUCAAACUACCAUUCCCAGGGGCCACUUUCUCUAUUGACUAUCUGAAAGCCUCCUUUCCUCCAUAUUAGCUCAUCAAUACAGCUCCCCACUCCAGGUCUGUUAAGUCUGGCAAACACCACCUAAAAUGGUGUGUGACUUCAAGAGGGGAGUUUCCCUGCUGCAGAGGUUCUGGAGGAGACUGUAAUCCAUUCAUCAUAUGAAGACCAACUAGCAUGCUCUCGUGGAAUAACUAAGAGGAAAGUCUACUUCAGAUUCCCGAAGCACUAUUCCUCUUCCUGUACUCCCUUUCACAGGAACAGAAAGGGUUUAGAAAGAACCAGAAACAGAAAAGGGAGUUCUGAUUACUAAUUUAUUUUUCCUGUGAUUGUAGGUUUGUUUUUUUUUUUUUAGUAUAAUGGAUUUAGGUAUGGAAAGGGCCAGAUUUUAUAGGACCUACCUUUCCUUAAACUUUCAUGACUUAAACUAGCAUUUUUUUGUGGUUUUUCUUUGCAAAAGUUACUUAUCACUGCAAGUUUUUCAUCUACUAAACAAAUUUGUUCUACUUUUAUAACAGUACAUUAUCAAUACCACACAGUUUCUCUGGCAUUUACUAUUUUGAAAACUGGGUUAAAAAUACCUGUGGUGUUUCUUAGUGAGAUUGAUAUCAAUAAAGGAGUUAGCAGUGAUGACACUUAGAUAUUUAUAAAACCCACUGCCUUUCAAUGAGAUGACAUUGUCAUCAAAAGAAACCCCAGUGUAUUAAACACAAUGUACAUUUGAUGUGCUAGAAUGUCCCAUUAUUUUAUAAUAUUUCAUAAUAUAUUUUCUUUUAGUAGGUUUUGUGUGGUAAAUCUAUGACUAGCUGCCAAAACAUUUCAUUAGCUAAAUGAACUGUGAUAGAAAGUAGAUGACUUGCAUGUAUUGGUGAUCAUUUAUGUAGUUUGAAGUAAGGCAUGUUCCCGAAUCACCAUGUUGUAACGUGACUUUUCCUUAUCACUUCUGAUCAUUCUGAAAGCUGUUGAAAAACGCAGCACUCUUGGUAAUAGCCUUAUUACUUUCAGCAUGUAGGACAUCAAUUAGGGCUCCACUUCUAUUCAGAGGGUGUGGGAUAAGCAUGUGGUUCUGUGGAAACUCUGCAUAGAGCAUUUUGUUUCCUGCUCUGGAGGCUGCACUCAGAACUAAAUCAACUGUGCAUCUGUGAGAUGUAAAGAUGGAGCUCUCUAGCCCUCAAUAGAUACAGUGGAUAAUCUACUAUAUAAAAACAUUUAAACAUAGCCUAUUUUAUUCUUCCUGAAUACAUAAAAGUCUAGGGCUGAGCAGGAGCAGGUGACAGGAGCCCAAUAAAGUCCCACUCAGAGCUGAAGUAGUAACCCCAGAGAAAGAAUUAUUAGGAAAAUAUUGAAUAGUAAAGAUGACAGGGCAUCUAGAGAACUGUAGACAUUGAGAUUUAGCUGAUACUUUACCAUCUUAAUCUAUGGCAGUGCAAACAUUUGCUAGACUUCUGUGGUCAAUGUAAAAGGGUGUUGUUCAUUGAUGCACCUUGUUCAGAUUUGAAAGACAUCAUUGCAGUCUACUUUCUUUGGUCUUACUAAAUUCUCAGGUGUUGCAUUGACUUCAUAAAAAGUGUGUAUAGACAACAUUAAAGUAUCACAGAAGCAUUUACUUUUGCCUCUUGGCUGAUGUGAAAUUCACAGUUCUAAUAGAUGUUUAACAUACAAAAAGUUUGAUAAAAUUUGUGAUUUGCUGUUGAUUGUACUUCUAACUAAUAUAACAGGAAUAAUUUCCAGGUUGAUGUUUGUUUUUUAUGUGCCUGUUUCUAUUCUUUUUAAGUGUACGAGAGUAGUUGAAAGUCUGUAUUUGAAAUUUUCAGAUACUUUCUAUAGAUAUCUGUUUUCAGUUCCUUAUGACUUUGUUAAAGUUUAAUAAAUUUAAGCAGGCAUUUUCAAGAAGAGAUUUUAGGCCUAUGCAGAACAUUUCAAAAAAUGGUUCAGAUGAAAAACCCUGACAUUUCUGAUGACUAGGCUAGGGAAAAAGUAUUCUUAUAUCCAUGUUGGAAAAAAAUGUUCAGUUUUACAUUGAAAAGCUUUUUUUUUUUUUUUUUUUACUUAAAAUUAAAUAGCUUUUUAAUGGCAGUAAUGUGAUGUACCCAGCUUCAGUUACAGUAUAAAAGGUACAAAAAGGUACUGGCUGGGUAGAGAAGGGAAGAGCAGUGGACGCUGUCUACCUUGACUUCAGCAAGGUUUUUGACACCGUCUCUCACAACAUCCUCAUAGGCAAGCUCAAGAAGUGUGGCCUGGAUGAAUGCAUGAUGAGAUAGGUCAUGAGCAUGGAUGGCAGAGCUCAGAGGGUUAUGAUCAAUGGUGUGAAGUCUGGUUGGAGGCCUGUAGUUAGGCUGAGUCAGUAUUAGGUCCAGUCCUGUUCAACCUGUCCAUCAGUGACCUGGAUGAAGAGACUGAGUGCACCCUCAGCAAGUUUGCUGAUGAUACUGAAGUGGGAGGAAAGGCUGACACACCAGAAGGCUGUGCUUCCAUUCAGUGUGACCUGGAAUGACUGGAGGACUUGGCAGAGAAGAACCUAAUGAAGUUUAGCAAGGGCAAGUGCAGGGUCCUGCACCUGGGGAGGAAUAACCCCAGGCAACGGUACAGGUUAAGGGUGGAUCUACUGGAAAUCAGCACUGCAGAGAAGGACUUGGGAGUUCUGGUCGAUAACAGGUUGACCAUGACUCGACGAUGUGCCGUUGUCGCCAAGAAGGCCAAUGGUAUUCUGGGGCCUAGAGCAUCUUUCUUAUGAGGAGAAACUGAGAGAACUGGGUCUGUUUCAACCUGGAGAAGAGAAGGCUGAGAGGGGAAUCUCACAAAUGCAUGUUAAUAUCUCAAGCGUGGAUGUCAAGAGGAUGGCACCAGACUUUUCAAUGGUCCCCAAUGAUAGGAUGAGGGGCAAUGGGCACUGACUGAAGCAGAGGAGGUUCCAUCUGAAUAUAAGGAGAAACUCCUUUACCUUGAGGGUGACAGAGCACUGGAACAGGCCACCCAGAAGUGUUGUGGAGUCUCCUUCUCUGGAGACAUUCAAAACCUGCCUUAACACAUUCCUGUGUCAUCUGCUCUAGAUGUACCUGCUUUAGCAGGUGGGUUGGACUAGAUGAUCUCCUCAGGUUCCUUCCAACCCUAACCAUUCUGUGAUUCUAUGAUAAUUCUUUUUUUCUGUUUGUUUGUUUUUCAUUUUUACAAAUAUCCUUGUGUAGCUCAGUAUUGAACAUGAAAUUUUUUGGGACUAAAUUCAGGACUUCUGCAGGUCGUUGCUCAGCUCACGUAGAACAAACUUCUUGGAACUGGCCACUAUCCAUUUGCUGAAUUUUCAACAGAAGAUACCAGCACACAUUUUGUGAAACUUUUACAUUGAUGCAGCUGCAUAGGACAUAAUGUACAACUGCCAAGUUCUCUGAAAUAUCCUGUGCUAGGUGUUUCCAACUGACUACAACAAAUUCUUGGCUAUUUUAAAUUAUUUUGUUCUUCAUUGCUUUUUGACUCAGCUUCUUAUUUAUAAAGUCAAGAAUUUAAUCUCACUGAUGUGCUGUAAAGAGAAAUAUAUUAACUCUGGUAAAGUUCUUAUGGUAAGAGUACAAGAGAAAUAUGUGUGAAGAAACUAAUAAUUUAACAUUCAGCUCAGGGUUUAAAUGUUAUACUUAAUUAGGCUAGAGAUACAUAUUAUCCUAGGGCAAAAGUAAGAUUGAAUGCUAGAAGGAAAAUUACAGGUGUUGAAAAUAACAUAUCAAGCUACAGUUGCAAAUGAUAUCAAAACACAUGAAUGUAAGAAUUCUAGCCACAUCAGCUUUGAGAAGUUUUGACUAAGGUCUGAAUUUUACACUUUAGAUUACUUUUUUUUUUUUUUUUUUUUUGCUAUUAGUCUUAGUAUUUCUGUAAAAUACAGAUUCACAGAGUAUGAGAUCUCUGGCUCUUGCAGUUCCUAUGACAACACACCCAGCUCACGGUUCCUAUUAUUUUCUAAUCUAGUCAGGAGGUCCUUUUUCUUCUUUUUCUGGUUUACCUAUUUCACAGUAAAAUCAGUUGAUAUACAGAUAACUAACAGAGAUUGCUUGCUUGUUAAACCUAGAACUCAUAGCAUCAACUAGGAAUAUUAAAUGCUAUAGCUACAGCCGUUCAUUUCAGUGCCAUGGAUGUACAAAGAUGUCAGUAUCAAACCAUUCCUGUGUAUUAAUAGAAAGUGUGUUGCCUGGGUCACUUCUGAGCAGUGAAGCUGUGUAUGCAUUGACUCAAUGGACAUUAAGUCAUUUGUUGCUUCUCUGAAAAACUGAAGCAGUGUUACUCAGUUGUUGCCAGUUGAUUUUGGAGUUGAAGUCUUGACUGAUUUAUUAUUUGAUAUCUUCUCAAUUUGAAGCAUUAGGAAUAACACUUGUUGUGAUAAAAUGAUAAUUAAUUAAGUAACAUCAGAAUGACAUAGUCUCUUAACAACAGAGAAAAAUAUUAUCAAAAAUUCUCAUAUAUCAAUGGGGCCUCUGUAAUACAUUUUUCCAGGGAAGGGAUAGACAUAGUUCACUUAUAAGCUUUCUUACAGCAAAACAACAUUUUCCUUGCAAUAAAAAUAGCUUUACUGAAAAAAACCUGACAUUAUAGCAUCUUGGCAUGCAGUUUCAAAAUCCCUGUCUCACUUCCUGGGUUCAAAAUCUUUUUCUAUAGUGGAAUAAGCUGUGUAAGAUAAUUAACAGAUGUUGCCAGUUGAUUUUGCAAUAGAAAUUAUAAUGAAAAAUCUAGGUGAUGCUACUCUGACUGUGCUGAAUUUUUAGGAAUAUGAGCUAGAAGAAAGGCUGCAAAUUUUUGUUGUCACUAUGUCAUUUUUUGAGAAAGAAAAUUAUAAUUUGAAACUGUUUGGGUUUAUAAAAUGAAAAAGAGCCACAACUAAAUCUUGACUAACUUUUUUUCUUUUCCAUGUCCGUGUUAAUCUAAAAGUCAUUACUAACUGAAAAAUGACCUUAUUUGCAUAUAUCAGGGUAAUUAUCUCCUGCUUUGGUUUAUUCAGUUUUCCACUGUUUUAAUUGAACAGUGUAUAGAGGUAUUCAAUGUUUGCUAAAGGAUGCAUCAUAAAAGAGACAUUAUAUGUUUUAACAUCUGUUGAUAUCUAAAAAGCUGAUUAUCUUACAAACAUCAGGGCGGUUCCAUUUCACUCUUUCUAAUUCUAAUAUAACCUGGAAAUAUUGUUUGACUGAGAUCUUUAGCUUGUUGUUUGUAUUCUCUUAAAUCUUCAUUAGGCACUUGAAGUUGUUUUCUUUAGAUGUACUGCAAACAAAGCAAACUCAGCUCACUUUAGACACAGUUUCACCCCAUUUUAUGGCCUGUGUCAGACACAUCAUAUGAUCUCUAUGCUUUAGAGUUACCAGUCCUAGUCUUUGCUACAGUCUUUGCACCCAUGUUACUCUAGCGUAGCCACUUCUGGAAUGCACCAACCAACAUGCAUUGCACUGGGAACACAUGCAAAGUAGUACUAUUGCAUUACCGUUUUAGUUUUAAAGCAUGGUAUUGUAAUUGGUUAAUAUAUGAGCUAUACGGAAUGGAAUUGCCAUCUGAAAUGUUUAUGAAGAAGUCACAGGCCUUCCCCUUCUCCUCCUCCUCAUAUGAUUGUGAAACAGCAGGCUCCAUAUGAGACCACAUCUGAUAUAAUGCCAGCACCUCUAGUGCUCCUCACUUCUUUUGUUUGUUGUGCUCAAGAAGACACGAUAUGAUUUUAGUUGUGUCUUAUUCUUCAAGGCUAGGUUAGAUUAACCACUGCUGCGUGACCAGAUCCUUCAUGCUGGUAGAAAUAGUAAUCUAGAACUUUCAGAAUAUGGAAACUAAUUCUACAGACACAAAUUGGUAAGUCUGCAGGUCACAAUGGAUUGCAUUUGCAACCAUGUCUGUAGGGAGGAUAUUUUGGAUCUUGAGAAAGUAGUGAUUUAAAAUAAGAUCACAUUGAUUCACAUACGUGCUAUGACCAUCAGUAGAUCUGGACAUCUAGAUGAAGAGAGUAACAGCCGAGAUCUUUCCGCAUGCGUUAUCAGCACAGGUGUACACUAUCAAUGUAGAGUCUUGUAGCCUGUUUGUUCUAGUAUCUGGAGUGUACCUUAGGACAAGCAAGUCUACUAUAAGCAUGAUUGUAGCUUCCUUACCUAUAGUUUAUGGCUCCUGAAUUGUUGAUAACAUAUAAAAGUAGCUGAGCUCCCAAAAUAGGGAUUUGUGAUGUUAUAACCGUGGAAAAAUAACCAUCAACUUUUUGAUUCAACAGCACAACAGAUAAUUAUGACAUUUCUCAAAGUGAAAGGAGGAGAUUAAUAUCUCAGAGUACGUUUACUCUAUUUUUAAAAACCUGUAGUUUAAUAGUUCCAGAUGCUUUACUGUUCUGCACACUUUGUGUCCUAAAUACAUAGUUCCUUGUAAUCUUUCUAUCUUCCAGUCUUCUGGCACCACGUUUGGUCAAGAAAUGCCUGGAUUUUCUAUAAAGUGCACCCACAAGCAAGACGACAAAGAAUGACUGAGUAUCAUCAGUGAUGUGCACAGAUUGCAAAGAAUCAUUGACAACAUGAUGAAACUAACAGAGAGAAUUCCACUAAAAUUUGCAUUAGGAAGAGAAAGUUCAAUCAUUCCAUUGGACUUCACAUUGGCUUGUGAACUGGACCAGAAAGAGUAACUCCUGCAGCAUAUAUCCCAGAAUCUUUACUGAAAAUUUCAGUACUACAAGUACCACUUGCAAGAGAAUUUCCAAGCCCUUGAUGUUAUCCAAUACAUUUAGGACAAGCUUUUCCACUUUCUCGUCAUUCAUAUUUAAUAGUUGUAACCUUAAAAAAGAAAGUCUUCCUUGGUUUAAACAAAUUGAUUUUGCCGACUAGGGUAACAGAAGAGGACAUUAGCAUACUCAACACAUAAAAUGAUAAUGGCUACCACUUAUUAUUAGCCUUACAUUUCUUUGCUAAGGGUAUGUGGACUAUCUAACAAAACUCACAAAAGCAAUAGAACUUAUAGGAUAUACUUUAAUUCUGUUUUAAUUAAAUUAUUCUACAAAAUGUUUUGCAGUCCAUAGGGUGAUGCCCCUGCUCUUUUUCAUGCACUAUAGGGAGAGACUUGUGUCUUCAUUUCCCUGUUUUGCAGGUUUAAAUUAGUCCCAUAGUGUUACAUUUGUUUUCUCUAUUUUUCUGUGAGUUUCCUUAAGUACAUGACAGAGAACCUACCCCCUCCUUUUGUGGAUUCACCCAGUCCACCAAGAGCAGGAGGAAAUCAGCCCACAAUGAAAAUUCACUUCAUGAUGUUUUGCAUCUUGAUUUCAACUAGGAAAGAUACUACAUAAGAAAACAGCUGCUUUCUAAGUGAAAGGUAAGUGCCCAGCACACACACUUUACAUACUGCUUGUGUCAUUUGGUCCUUUUGUACACAGAACUUUGAGUCAUGUACAUUGUUUCUUUUCUCUUCUAGUCACUUUAAUUCAAAUCAAAUAACUCCUUCCCUUAUUUUUUUUUUUCUUAAUUAAAAACAGCAGUUAAAAUCUUCACAUCCUUCCUAUUGAGGUUUGUUCAAGUCUGUUUCAUGUGUUGUUAUAUAUGUUAGUGUAUUUUUGAAGACUGGAAAAUCACUUGACAAAAACCUACAGAAUCUGAUGGGUAACAAUACUAUGUCUCAUAAUAAACCUCCUGGACUAACAUAUACUGAUGGUGAUGUACUUAAAAUUUUACAGCUUGACUCAUAGUUCUAGAUGGUGGGAAUUUGUGACAGGUAUCAUGAUACAUAUAUGUUUUUCACUAGCAUUCUACAUUAGAGACAUUAACUUAGCUUAUGUAAUUUCUUCAUAGGUGAUCUAAUAACUGCUGUAUUUCUAAAUAACUCUUGGACUCUGAACCACAGUUAUUACCUAAGCAGCAGAAUAGAAGUGACUGGUGACAGACAAGAUUCAUUUUCCAACCAGGCUCUGGCUCUCUAUUGCUCUCCUGCUGUCACGCUCUGCUGGAGCAAGGAUAUGGGAGCAAUGUCAAUAGCAGGGGCAUGUUCAAGUUAAUUGCAGGUGCUGUUGCAGAGCAGGGUAAGGAUUAAACAAUGAGUUAAGGGAGUACUCUGGGUUUCCACUGUCUUCUGUUUAGAACAUGUUUUGAAGGUAGUUUUGGAAUAUUCUCUUGAACAGAGACAGAAACAGGAGUUGAAAAUUUCAAUAAGUAUGAAAAUUGGAAAUGGAAACUGGGUGUUAACUUGAGAAUCUGCAAAUGGAUAACUCAGUAAGGAGAGAAGAGAAAGGAAGAUCUCUUUAAAUUUCCAGUUGACUAAGAUAUUUUCUAAAAGAGAAUUAAACUUAAAAGAAAAUUGCCUUAUAUUUGUACUUACUUAAACUUUACAUUGAUCUCACUGAGAGCUUUUGACUGCUCAGCAGGCACGUAGUGCUGAAUUUAGCGGUCUCACUUUGAGUACAAAUGCAACAUUUUUGUCCUUUAUUUUAUCUUGAAUUUUGCUCCAUUUGACUCCAGUUUUAACACUUUUGCCCUUUUUCUUUAUUCAUUUAUGAUCAAUAACCCCUUUUGAGCCCGCAGAUUUGACGACGAACUUUUAAGAUUUGGUAAAUUAUGUUCAUAAACAUUUUUUCAUCUUGUUCCCUUUUUCACUCACAAUACACAACAUGAGCAUACAAAAAUCUACAAGGUAGAAAGAGUCAAUAAUAUCUAGCUGCAAAAGUGACUUUUGUUUGACAAUUUUACUGAAGACUGGAGGGAUAUAUAAAUAUACAGCAGACAAAUGGGAUCCACAGGGACCCCUUUAAGAUCUUUAUGAAUAUUUGAAAGGGCAUCUGGAUCCAUAGCUGCACAGGGCAAUCAAUUGCUAUGAAUUUUUAUUUCCCCAAGCACUCAAAGGGAAUGGCAUGACAGGUAUGUAUUACCAGCAAGCUUCAUUUAAAGAAACAUGGGGCUUAUUUUGAUAAGGCCAAGGGAGAGAAAAAAACUCAUCCAUAAUAAUCUCAUUUAAAUUUAGGCUGGCAAAGCUGGUUAUUUAAUUACUGCAAUUAUUGUAAAACUGAAUGCUUCCUACUAGUUUUAGAUGCUGUAUAGUCUUUUUUUGAAUUCCAGCACUGCUUCUUUGCAAACUUGAAAAGCAGUCUCAGGAGCUUACAGAAAUGAAUAAUGAAAAGAAACCCUUUUAUGAGAAUUGAAAAUCAAAUUAGAAAUUGAGAUUUUGAAGGUGUCCUUCCAUCCCUCUAUAGAGACUACUUUUCAAGAAACACCAAGGGAGAAGAUUUCAGUCUUUUAAGCUUAUCUUGACAGCCACCAAAUAUUUCGAAAUCAGAUAUUUUGUGAGAAGCACGGAGAAAUGUUAUUGUGUCACUGGAAAUCCCAUUGUCACUGUCAUUCAUGUAUAACUUUUGUGGUACAUAUAUGUAAUAAACUUAAACACAGAAAUAUUUACUCACAUCCAUAAUAAAACUGUAAGAGAAGGCAAUAUUAGAUUUGUUUAAACUAAACAGUAUCACAAGGUACGUUCUAUUUUUUUAAUUUUUUUUUUAGGUCUGGUCAGGUCCAAAAUGUUGUUCUUAACAAAGUCCAGGUUCAAAUAGUGUAGAAGCAGCUACAGUCAAGAGAUGGAAAAGGGGUAAAUGUACAACAGAGGUACAAUAUAGUACAUACAGUUUAGAAAUAAAGACCGUGGUUUGGCUGUGUGGGUACUCAACCACAUAUAUAAUGAUAGAUGUAGUGUAUAUGCAGUUUGCUUCUUUGAGAUCUUAAAUUCACUCCCACAAAUCCCACUGUUUAAUCAGCCAUGACAUUACUGGCUCUAGAACAGAACUGUAGAAGUCACAAGUUGAAGGACUUGAUGCAGAAGGUGUCACAGUUAUUUUAAGUUACCCUGAGACACACACUCUUUUGUGCCAUUUUUCAGCUAGUGCAAUUUCAAGAAGGCUAUAAUCUAAAACAUAUUACUAGUGUGUAAGUUGCAAAUCAUGUAAAAUAGUUGGUAAAUUCUAAGAAGCAAGUAAGCAGAGAUUAACAUAUGGAAUAAAAUGUUUGCUUGGUGAUUAUUCCUUAUCCUCAGGGCGUAAGCUUUUUUACCCCAAAAUCAGUUCUCUUGGACCUUGGACUUAGAGACAACAGUUUGUUUUUUUUUGCUUUUUUUUCUUUACAGUAUUUCUUAUACAGAGGCAAAUGGCCAUAAAAGGUAUUGAAUCCAUUAUAAACUUGCAGAAUAUCUCAAAAUCAACUUAGUUUCUUGCCACUUACCCAGAUUUACCCAGAUGAGUUCCAGAAGCACUAAUUCUAUAAAAGUACUAUUUUUUUCUUUAUUAUUUAUUAUUCCGCACCCCCCGGCCCUCCCCACCCCCCCAAAAAAAAAAAAAGUAGAAUAUGGAACAUAGAGAUCAGUGGUUUUAAUUUAAGUGGAGAAGAAAAUUUAGCCUGGUAGUUAUUGUUUCUGGAUAUCAUGUCCUGAGGUUUCACCUCAAGCUUUUUUUUUUUUAAUUUUUGACCUACAGAUAGCCAUUAAAAGAUUAUUGACUUAUGUAUACAUGAAAACCUAGUUCAAUACUCACAGGUAUGAGUGAUUCAGAGGUCGUCCUGAUUUAACAACAAAUGAGCUAAAAAAAAAAUAUCAAUUACAGAAACUUUUAAACACCUUUUUCCUAAUUUAUUUUAAUGAAUUAAUGCAUUGGAAUUUUAGGGUAAUGUUUUUAGUAAAAAAGAAAAAUAUAUAGAAUACAAGUUUCCUUGCAUUUCCAUAACAUAAACGUUGUUCAGUUAAAUGCUAGGCAUUUAUUGUUUGUGGAUACUGAAUUUAAGAUUUCAAUAUUGAGAUUGGCUAAUGUUUGUACUGAUGGACUGGAUACUUUGCUGCCUCAGUUUGUUAGUAGUUUGUCGCUGAUUUUAAUGUCUCAUGUUUUGAGUAGAUGACUAAAAAUGGCUUGGAUACUCAUAAAAACUUCUGUAUGCUCAUUAUUGUCACCUCACUUUAGCUACUGAAUUUCCCUUUGAGGAAAUUACGUAAGUAAAAUUAUGAAUAUGUGAUAUUUGUAGUGUUUAAUAUUAAGGUCAUGACAAUCUAAUGAAGUCACUGGGAUACUAGCCUGAGAAAAGCAUACAGCAUCAGACUUAUUUCCAAGGUAAGAAUAACAGAAUUCCUUCCAGAAUUUAUUGCAUCAAUUAAAGAAAUUGCAUUCUUUAAACAAGUAGUAGGUAAAAUGAGGUAUUUUUCUUUUCUUAGCUAUGAUAAAAUAUAGUUCGGCUCAUACAUAAUAGUAGAAAAUUACUAUGUGGUCUGGUUCUUUAAAAAAUCCCUUUUUAGAUUUAUGAUGUAGCUUUAUUUGAUGAAGUCAGUUAUCUGAAGACCACAACAAAAGCCUUCUUGUGGGACUAUCACCAUACUGCGUCUUUAUUUAUGUAAGUAUGACAAAGGACCUCUGCUAUCCUUUGUGUAAUUAAGGAAAUCAGUAGAUAGAACUCACCUGGCAUUCUGGAAGAAGCUAGUUUAGGAGUUACAAAACAGCCAGGGAACUCAAAGGAAAGCUGAUAAAUUAAAAUAAAUUUGCAACCCAGAAAAGAGGAAGAAGAAAUUCAGUUUUAUUUUCAGGGACAAUUUACUCAAAAAUGGGUAGUAACGCAAUGUACCUACUAGGUAUACAGGCGGGUUGUUUCUUAAACAGGAGUGGACAAUAUUGCAUGCCUUGCUGGGAUACAGAGGGUUUUUUCAUUAGUUUUUCCCUUGUUCGUCAGGUAGACAUGUCCUCUCUUUUUGUUAGACUAAGCACAGAGAAAUGUUGUACUGAUGUGGCUGUGAUACUGUUUUGGUUGGCAGGAAGCUGAAGAGACUCAAAUCUCUAUACUCGUUUUCAGUCUGGAUUUCUUAGCUGCAUUUGAAUAUUCCUUAGAAUUAGGUUGGUCUUUCAAAGCCUUGAAAAUCUCCCUCCUGCAAAUGACGUGUUGUUUUUUUUCAUACCCUGAAGGUUCAUGCUCAGGCCUCAAGAUUGUUUUCAUUGUUCUCUUUUUCUCUAAAAUAGUUAAUGAAAACCUAUGCUGCAGGUAAUAUCUGACUCCUAGUUAUCUUCUUGGAGUAUACAGCAAAGAAAUAAUUGAUUUGCUCUGCCAGGUAGCCUUCUUUUUCUCCAAGCCUGCUCUGUUAAAGUGGACAGGCACCAAAGUGAAGCAAACCUCUGCUGUCGACUCUGUGCUCUCGUCAUCUUUCCCUCCUGAUCUUUGUCUUAAAAGAGGAGACAAUACAGCAGAGAAGAAACACAUGAAAUGCUGCUUUAGUCAGAUGCAAAUGGACAGGAAGAACCUGUGCCAAACCCUUGUGUAAGCUCUAUAUGGAGAAAUUCUGCACACCAGGAGUGUGUAUGUUUGUAUACAUAUUUACAUGUUUAUAUAAAUGUUACGUAUAUAAAAAGACAGGAUGGUGGAAAUGAAGAGCAAGAGACAAGGAAAAUCCCGUGGCAUCUACACACAGUAAAGACAAUAAGUCAUUAAAUACUUUACAUAUCCCAGUAACAGCAGCUGAGUCACUAUGGUGAUACUCUACUACCCAAACAGAGAAAUUUUGGAUAAAACUUUCCACAAGCUAAGCUUUUUUGUUUUGUGAUCCACAAAAUAAUGUUAAAUUUUAGUGUAUUCAUAAAUAGUACCAGGUUUACUGCUUAUUUAUGAUUGGUCAUAAAUAUACAUAAUGAAUUAUGUAAUCUGAGAAGAAAUAACUAUCUCUUAUAAACUAUUAAUUUUUGUGGACCAUAGUUCACACUCUAUGGAUAUAAUUUGCAAGUCUAAUGCAAGACAUCUCCCUCCUGCCCCAUCACCCUGCCCUGGUUCUGUCUUAUUUACAAGUGUCUGGUUGAAUUAAUAAAUAAACAGUAGCUGAAAUCUUUCAUUUUAAUUAGAAUAAAGUGGCAUUGGUAUACCAAUGUUUGGCAAAGAGAUCCGAGGUGCUGUCAGAUGGGGAUUAACACUGAAACAAAGAUUUGAAUAAAUACGUGGUACUUCAAACCAAGUUCGCUAACCACACAUGAGAUCACUUUUUCAGAUAAGGCUCUUGCAUUUAAUAUGAGAUAGUACAACCGUGCUGUUUGAACUGUAAUAAAUGGCUCAGUGCAUGUCUGCUGGGACAUAAGACGACAAGAUAUUAUUCUUCACCCCAGAACUGUCAAGCCUGAUUAUUUCCUAAGAAGCUUGACAGCUUUGGGAGUGAUAAAAGGAAACCUCUGUAGCAAAGAGAGGAGGAAGGAGAAUAGGGGAACUUUUUGCUGGUGUUUUCAUGUUCCCACUGGAAAUAAUGCAGAGCCUGUGUAAUUACAGUUGUUUGUUUGGGUUUUUUCCUCAUGGAAAACAAAUCUAGGAAAAUGGCAUUGGCCAUAGAAAGGAGUGGCUUUUACUGUUAACAUCUUAUGUCUGCAAAGGUUAGACAUCAAGAAAGCCGUAGUUAAUUUAUAGCAGAGCUAAUACAAGAAGCCCACACAAAUAGACCGCCUAUGAUCUCAGUGGAUUUGUCACUGUCUGGACACCAGGCCGGUGAGGUCCCUGUGACAGAGCUUGGCUUCCAGUGGCUGUGGUUGCUCAUGUGCAAGCAGGGUGCGCUGCUUUGCUCUCAAGCUUUGAACAUGGAGCAGGCUUCUCAGGAGCUUUCUGGCCAAGCUAGCAAGAGUGUGCAUGUGGGGUCCUGGAAGAAUAGAGAGGGCAGAUGCCAGGCUCUCGAGGGGGAUGAAACAGGUGGUGGGAGAUGGCAGUCAAGACCCAGAUCCAGUGGCUACAGCAAGGUUAGAUCUUGCAGGACUUUGACAUUGUUGAUGUGUCAUGUAUGGCAAGAAUGUACAAACUGUUAUGGGAACAGUGGGUACAGGCCAUGUCUUUGCUAGUAGGUGGGCUCAGCAUAUUUUUAUGUAAUAUUGGAGGGUGUGUACUUGAAACCUUGAUACUUAUUUUUUUUCUCCUGAAGCAAGCAUGAAAUUGCUGGUUCUUCAAAUAUGCAAGCUCCCUGAAAAGAGAAUGACGACAUUUUUCCUUGGGUUUUUCUGGCCUGAUUUCUUAUUUCUUUUUAUGUCAAGAAAAGUAGCUUCUCCACUGUUCUUUGAUUCUUGCUGAUUUUUUUUUGGCUCUUAUAAUUGUCAGGAAAAUGAAAGGUCACUGAGGAUAUUCUAUGCCAUGUGCCAAAGUAUAACAGAAAUUUAAAUUCACUAUUAAGUGACAAUGAAUAGGGAGUUUAACAGAGCAGCAAGCAGCAAAAGGACCUUCAGAAGUGCAUAGAACGGCAGGGAAAGGCCUAUUAAGUGGGGUUUUAUCAAGUUGGAAAGCCUUAAGACUAUAUGAGUAUGAAUAUUGGCCACAUUCUUUGAACCUAAUUGUAGAUCAGCAAAAGGGAAGUAAGGGACCUGUAGGAUGCCUGUCCCAGGUGUACUGUCGUAUUGGGAGAUGAGAAGUAGCCAAGUCUACAUUAAGUCCUGAGAAGCAUUAGGGGUUGGUGAAAAUUUUGUUUGCUUUUCAAAAGCAACUCACCCAUACUAAAUAAUUUCUUGAUUCUUUUGUGGCAGCUAGUUGUCAUAACAUAAAAAUGUUCCAGUAAAUAUUUUUGUUGUCAAAGCAUUAAAUUGUAGGCUAAUCAAACUUUCUCAAGAUACAUAAUUAGAUUAUGGUUGCUAGACACUGGAAAAAAGACUUCUCAUCUCUAAUGUGGCUGAGCAAUGCUUUGUGUGUGUGUGUGUAAUAAUUGCAAUAAAAUUUAAGCUAUAUCAAUCUCUUUCUUAUAGGGCUUCCAAGAAGAAAGAAUAAUUCAAAGACUGUUGUAAAAUAAUAUUAAGAAUAAAUGAAAUAAAAUUAAUAAAACAAACAUGGUUUAGAGGAGAAAAGUUUCUGGCUCUCAAUUGGUGAAGGGGGUCCCAGGUAAUGCAUCACUACUCUGGUCCAUGUAAGCAUGUCUGUACAAGAAAAGAAGUAGAGUCUGAGCAGUGAUAAAAAACAAUAAAAAAGAAAUAUGAAGAAUACAGCUGUAGUAAGACUUCAGGAAACAUUUUGUGAAUUAUAAUAUUUCAUUUUGCAACUGAAAGACUCAUUUAAACUCUGAGAAGGAAAACCCUAAUUAUUUUUAUGAAUUUAUGUGUUAGUGUUUUCCAUGAAAAGAACAGUAUAACACCUGCUUUUCUCCUGUUCCUUUUGUACUGAGUUGGACAGGUUGAUUAUGUGCCUUUAGCUUUGGAUAGAGAUAGUCAGCCUGAUGAGAUCAUAUGUCCUUGCCUCCUACAACACUCAUAACUUCACUAGAUAAUUUUAAAGCUUUGAAUUUUUGCUGUGGAAAUAGGGUAUUUAUGAGCAAGAUGCACUCUUCUGAAUUUAAGAGUUCAAACAACACAGAAUCCAUUAGAUACCUAAAUAGUUUCCUUUAUUGCAGAAACAAAACACAGCAGAAAGUCAUGCUCUAUUUCCCAGCUUUGACAGAAUCAGGUUUAAUGAAUGUCUGGCUUUAGUUUUUCAUCCACUUGUAAAACUAUGCUUGUACAGCACUUGUGUAAGAUGACUUAGGCCUCUUCAGAAGUAGAUAAUCACUAAAUACACUUCUAUUCUUUUCACUUGGCAGGAAGACUAGAAGUCUGAUUACUUUCUCAAGAAUAUUUUUUCAACAUUGUUUUAAACAACUCUACAGCUGAAAAGCUGGGGAGCAGAAAAAUAUAAUUUGACAUUACACUGUUGUUUUUUUUCUGGAGGAAAGGCACCUUUUGAAUUGUCUUAUGAGAAGUGAUGUAUGAGAUAAGGAAUAUCAAAGAUUCCUCAACUAAUAUAUACAACUAAUAUAUGUAGUGUGUAUAUACAGUUAUUUAAGGAAACUUUGAGAACCAUGAGUAUUAUAAUUAGUAUGAUGUUUAAAAUAAUAUUCAGAAAAAAUAUGUAAAGAUAUAUAUGACUACAGGCUAAUUUAGAUGCAGAAAAUAUUUAUGAUGAUUAAGACCGGAAUCUCUUUGAAUCUCAUCUUUAUUUAUGAUGUAUUUUACAGUGGAUGGAGCAAAUUAUUCUGUACAUACUUUUUGUUGUUGUUGUUGUGGUUUUGCAUUUUUUAACAUCACAGUAGUUGCUGAAGUGUUUCUCUUCCAUAUUUCAGAAAGAAGAACUGAUUGAGGCAGUCCUUAUACUUUGCAAAAUAUUUCCACCUCACCACAUUUCUUUAUUUCCAAAUGUCAUACUUUAAUAUUAUAUUAUAGCAAUCUAACCAGGAGGAUAUUUUGACACUUCUUGGGAUGUACAGUCCACCAAGCCCAUAGAAUAAAGUUCAGGGAUAAAAGCAAAACUGUUAUUCCUGUGAAAUUUUUUGGUAGUUUGGGUCAGGUGAUGUGUAAUUGAAAAAAAAAGAAAAGUACCACCAAUACUGAGAGACUGAGUGCUUAUCCUGAAAUUCAAUUGGUUUCCCUUUUACAUUAAAAAAAAAAUAUAUAUAUAUAAUUUCAUUAAAGAUAUCCUACUUAAAAAAAAAAAUACAGAAAGCUCUUGAGCACCUUCAUUUAUGCUAUAAUGAUACACUGGUUUGAGAUGGUUGCUUUUAUUGCAGCAUUCUAUUUUAUAGCUUGAAUUCCUCAUUGCUCUGGAAUGGAUUGCAACGUAAAUCCUAAAAAGGCUGAAAGCAAAUAGAAAUCUGGAUUGCCAGAUUUGAAGCUGCAUGUAUGGAUGACAGGCUUCAGAUCCAUUUUGACUUUAAGAAUUAACAGCAGUGAGAAGGAUAUUAUAAUUCUUAAAAGUCCCGGACCUACAAACAAAAGAGAACUGUUAUUGAAGUUUCUGGGUCCUUCAGACUCUGAAAGCUGAGGGUUGUUUUAAAUCAGAUUUUUCUUCUAGAUUUUUUGAGAUAAGCCAGAACCUCAGGUCUUUGACCAACUUCUGAAGCUAAUCUCUGUUUCUCCAUCCUUCUUUCACUCAUUAUUGCAGUUGUUCACCCUUUUUUCUUACUUGCUUUUUCCUGCUCAGACUCACACCUUGUAAGCAUUUUUGAAUUCAAAUGGAAGAGUGUGACUAAAACGUACUGGUUAUUUAAUGGUGUACUAUGUCAGAAAUUCCCAUUUUAUACUGUCAUUUAUAGUGCUACAGUGGAUCUAAAAAAGUUUUCUUGGAUUUGGUGGUUUUCAUUUGUUGGUGAUUGAAUUUCUUUUGUUGUUUUGUUUUGUUUUGUUUAUUUAUUGUUUUUACCUCUACCAUAUCUAUUCUUUAGUGCAUUGGGCACAGAGAACCUUGGCAUUAAUUUCACUCUAAUUGUGGAUUAUAUGAAAGCAAACAUAUUCAGUAUUAUACUAAUAAAUUUGUUAUUAAGGAGAAAAAUUGAGAUAUCAAAUUAAUUUUCUUCAAAAAUGGCAUAAAACGUGCUUCAGUAAAGGUAUAAAACUGAAAAAGGAAAAGCAGGAUUUUCAAUUUGCUUAAGAGAACAGUUAUUUGAAGUCCAUUGACACCUACCUUGAAUGUAUAUUUAACUGAACAGAAAAUGGAGAAAGACAUAGAUGAUGUCUGAUUUGUGCAAUGUAAUAAAUCUAUGACAGUUAUAAGUGGUGAAAAACACUGAAUUAUAAUGGAAAUUCCCAUCACAAAAAUUAAGAUGUCAAGAACUAUUAAUUAAGACCAUAAGAAAUGCAAAGCAGAGAAAUUAUUUAAAUAUAAUUGGCAGUUUAGUAAUAAACAGGAGGCACCACUUACUAGGUAGGAAAUUUCAUAUCAUCUGCAUAUUAAAAUAGUUUUUACUCAUCUACUUAGAUUGACUGAGUGAAAAAUUUGGGGGAAGUCAAAUGGAGUAAAAAAUUACAUUGUACAUUUCUAGAAUAUUGAGAGCUCAUAAAUAAAUGCCUUCAUUAUGGGUCUACAUCUUAGCAAAAGAAACACAAGAUGUGUGGCAGUUGCACAUCCCCCUGAGAUCCGGAGCCUUCAAUAGGGCAGCUGAUGGCUCUUUAGCAUCUUUUGUGCCCUAUUGUGCAUGUCCAAACCUACACAUUGCACCAAGGUGCUGACAGUCACAUCCUCCCCUACCCGGGGGUAGGGUGACUUCACCUCCACCCAACUGGUGGGCAGGAGGGUGGGACCCUCAGUCGAUUGACAGGGUGGUCAACAAAGGAGGUGCCCAGAGAAACUGAGAAGCUUCUGGACCACGCUGUAAUACCCACAGCCAGAUCUGACCAGGCUAUAAAACGGGGUCCCUGCUGAAGACCCUUCUUGUGUGGUCUUCUCGGAGCAGCGGGUCUGUGAACUGGAUCCCUCCUCUUAGAUGGAACGCUGUCCAAGACUUUGCAGGAUUGAGAGCGGUUCACCACCUCCUGUGGUGAGUGGUUGUUUACUGGGUAUAUCCUUGAAUGAGCCCUUGCCCAAGCCAGGCAAGUGUGAGCCCUCGCCUAACCCAGGUAAAUGAUCAUUUUUUGUGGCUAACCUGGAGUGAGAGGCCUCUGCUUUCUUGUUACUUUUGAGUGUAUGUGUGCACGUUGUGGAUCCUCAUUAUUCUUAUGUUGUCGUACCCCCAAAAAUCUCCUCAACUGUUAUCUGAACCUGUAUUGUAUGUUGUUGGAGUGCUAAAAAAUUGUGUUUUUGGUAUAGUCAGUUUAUUGGCCACACUUUUCUAGCUAGAAUAAAGUCCAUUUUGGAACUUGUUGUCUACCUAAAAUUGACUUUUGGGGUGCCUCUGUGACAACAUAACUCUAAUCUGAUAGACACUAUAUCUAGUACAGAUCAAAUCCUGGUAAUGAAGGUAAGUCACACCUGUAAGCACUGAUUUAUAGAAGCAGUGGUGGGGAAAAUCAAUGCUGUUACUGAGACUUCAGUCCAGGUUCCUUGCUUAGUAUCUCUUACUUACAAGGCCCCUAUCACCUGCUGAACUUAGAGAUGUCAUUAUGCACAUAGAGAACAAAGGCCGAAACAGAAGUGUAAAUAUUUGGCACUUCACAAGCUAAAUUAUUUUGAUGCAAAUCAAGUAGGAGGAAAAGUUGAAACUAGGAAGUAUCAAUAGUAAUUGAGAAAUAUCUGACAGCAUUAAUUCUUAAAAAAAAAAACCAACAAAAUUCCAUAUUAAAAGAGCCUCCAUACUGGCUUUAAAAAUUAGGAUAUCUUUAAGGCCACAAAAAAUGAAAGUUAGAUUAAUAUUUUGUAGUGAUUUUGGCUGGCAUAAAUUUAAUUUUCUAUAUAGCAGCUUGUACAGUGCUGUUUUGGUUCCAUGAUGAAAACAGCAUUGAUAACUUGGGGAUGUUUUUGUUAUUGCUGAGCAGUACUUACACAGGGUCAAAGCCUUUUCUGCUUCUCACACCACCCCACCAGCAAGUGGGCUGGGAGUGCACAAGGAGUUGGGAGGGGACACAGUUGGGACAGCCGACCCCAACUGAUCAAAGGGAUGUUCCAUACCAUAUGGCAUCAUGCCCAGCAAUGAAGGCCAGGGGAGUAAGAAGGAAGGGACAGAUGCUCAGAAUACCUGACUGUUGAUGGAAUUCACACAACCUGAUGAUGAAAAACGAAGAGCAAGAGGGUUUUAUCUUCGGAUAACCUUUUGAUGUCUUACCGUCAUCUGUUUUUCUAAACAAAUGUAGCAUUAGUUUGGUAUCAUUGGUUCUUGUGAAACUGGAAUAAUGCCUUCCUUUGAGCUUCCCAGUGACAAUAUGCUCCUGCUUUCUGCCUUCCAUUGAAAAUUUCAAAAGUGGGCUGCCUUCUUUCUCUGUAAAAGUUUAAGAACUUUGAAGGGUAAAGUAAUCCUAAGGUUGACUUAAUAAAAAGUAUGAAAGCACCUGCCAAAGUGUUCAAGAUCAAGGAGAGAGCUGCAAUUUCAAAAGUGAAGCUUUAAAGCUUCAGAGUAUGUGAAGAGGAAAAAGCUUCCUUUAAUCUGUCGUAAAACAUCUUUUGUAGUAGCAAGAAAUAAGAAUAAGACUGAGAACUAAGCAUGACCACAGCAUAUACAUCUGCUUUUGAAUCACUGAAAAUUAGCUGCAAUUCAAGUGAAAAAACUUGUGUUUGGGCAACCAUACCGUCCAAUAGAGAGAAAAAAAAUAUACUGUCCAAUAGAGAGAAAAAAAAAAAAACAACAGAAAAAAAAACAAAAACAAAGUGCACACGCACACAUCAAGACAUAAUUAAACAAAUUUUGUCAAAUAUACAUUGUAUUUUAGUUUAGUUUUUUUUUUCAUUUUUACCCAUGAAAAAUAAAAUGUAUCAGCUAUCCUGAUCAUGAAGUAGUUUAAUGUAGUUCAACAUUAUAUGAAGGCAGAAAAAAAUGGACUUAGUUAUCUGAACAUCCAGUCAGACUUAGUGUCCAGUAUACUUGGACUGCUUAAAAUUUGACCAGGUGUUAGAAGAAAUGAUAAAUAUUUAGAAGAAAUUGCAGACAUAGAAUUUUAGAAGGUCACACAAAACUGGAGUAACCGGAGAACGUCUGAAAAAAUUUAUCAAGUUUGAAGUGUUUUUCUAAAAGAACAACUAUUAAAAAUAUUAGUGAACAAUUGAUCAUCUAGUUAAUUUGUUAAAUUUCAAGUCUGCUUUCAAGUAAUUACUGUAUUGUGUUAUUCCACCCUUAAUUCAAGCAAAUUGAUUUCUGAAACAAGGCCCAGCCUGUUGCAGUUGUCUAAAUGGUUGCUUUGUAUUUUCUUUCCCUUGCUGGUGAUAUAAGGAUAAAAAACUCACAAUGAACACCUCAGUCUACAAACAAUAUUCUGCUGAAAUGUUGUUGGAUUUAUUGAUACCAUUGUAUCUCACUGUAUGCUUAAUUUUUUAAAUAAGAAAUUAGAAUAACUUUUCAUUUACAGGAUGAACCUAUUUUCCACUUGUACUAGAGUUUUUUCCAUUAAUCUCAUGCUCUCUGUGUUUUUUUCUGUAACCUUCUAUCAAUGUUACUUUCAUUUUCUGGUAGAGCCCUUUACAGAUAUUCUGAGACUUAGUGUAUUAAUAAUUCAUAUCAUGAAGCCAUGACUGAAUAUCAAAAUCUGAAGACAAACAGUAAAUUGAGUUCUUUAUACCUGACCUGAGACAAGUAGAUGAAUGCUUUAUUAGUUCAUGUGGGUACAAGUUCUUGCUUUGCAAAGCUACUUAUAGACAUUCAUGACAGAUUUUUCUUCUCUUAACAGGAGUAGACACAAAAACACCAAUUAGUGCACAGGAAUGACUUUGGUCACUUUGGAAAAUGAAUUUUGUAAGGAGUCACAUGCUCAAAGUCCCCAAGAAAGAGUCCAAUGUGACUGACUGCUUAAAUCUGACUGCAUGCAACUUAAGUAAGACCUUUGUUUGUUUAAUUAACCCUCUUAUAAACAGAUUAAUGUACAAUUUAAGUGUAGCCCGGAAAAUACAAAUGCACAAGUGAUUAAGACAUUUAAAUAACAUAAUUUGAGUACCAAGUGAGGAGUUAAUCUAUUCUGAAGAUGUCUUUUUGAGCUUUACUGGGUAUUUUUGGUACACGGCUAGCUGAUGAUUCUAUUGUGGGAUGGGUUGCACUUACUUUGAAGGACAGUGUCAGAACAAAAUGGAAAAAAACAAAUUUCUUAGUUAUAUACCGAAUUCCCUGAUUCAUUUAAGUAUCCUACUCUAGAUGGUUUGUUGCCCUUGGAUGACAGAAGAUACAAGUUCCUGUGAUUUAUUUAAUUUGUCUGACCAGAAAAGUAAGCAAAAUAUUCUGCAGCUUUGAAGUGUGUAGAAAUAUUUGUAACACAGCAAACUUUGUAACAUAGCUAGAGGAUAAGCAAGCUUGUAAAGACCUGCAUUUGCUAUGAAAUUGUAAUGAUUUUCUUAAUGAUCAAUUUAGAAAUGUGUUUAGGUUUCUUCUCCAUCAUUAAUAAUGAAUUUUACAGGUACUGGAGUUUAGUAGGUCUGUGUCUGCCGAGUUCUGUUUCUUCCCUGUCUCCUUAGCUUUAUUACCAUAUUGAAUAAUUUUCUUUUUAAUAUUGUUAAUUUGUCUAUAGUAAAGCAAAUGCUAUAUUAGAGUCACAUCUUCAGCAGAAACUUCUGAAGUUAAUGGGAGACUAUGUUUCUGUGUGGGAAACAUCAUCUGAUAUUUUAGGAAACCUUUUAGUAUACAUCAUUUGAAUGUAUAUCCAUAAAUAUCAUUGUGGAGAACUGAGGAAAGGGUGUAGUCUGAAAUAAUUUUCUAUAGUUCAGAAAUUUUAAUAAUGUUGAAACCAAGUGUCACAGAGAAGAUGGAGAAUCUAGGCAAAGAUGCAAGAAAAGGAGCAGUCAGGAUGCACAUGUUAGGGAGACAAAGACGAAUGAAAUGAGAUAGAGAGUUAUUAUCCACAUAAAAUAAAAAGUGAUUGGAACACUCUGCCCUAUUUAUCAUGUGCUACACCCGCAGGCAGGAUUAUGCUAAAAAACUUGUACUUCUUCUCUGGUGAGAGGGUUUCAAUUUAAAUUCUCAAGUCAAUAAUUUUGUAGCAUUAAAUUUACCUUCAGCUAAAUUAAACAAGUUUUAUUUUACAUUUUAUUUAGAGAGUAAGGAUGGAAAGGCUAUAGAUAAAAAUGUCAAGAGUACAUCUAGAGAUUCUGAGGGCCAAUUCAAAUACCUUACUCCCAAGAGAUGGUGCAGUAAAGCCACUUCUCCAGUAUAUAUCAGGAAAUUUAACAGCAUUUUGUUUCAUUUUUUUUUGCCUCUAAAUAACACAAAUGUACAACAUAAUCAGUCUACAAAGCAAGAUGAUAUCGAAGGAUUAAAAUAUGGAGGAUGAAACUGAAAAGAAAGCAGAUGAACUUUUAAGCUAAGGUGUAAGCAUAGCGAAUCUAGAGAGUAAUCUAUCAUAACAGUCUCUCCUUACAUAGUGGUGUACAGAAAAAGAUGUAGAUAAGAGAAAAUUCUCUAUCCAGGAUUUAAAGCCAGUCUCAAGUCUUCACUUUUUUCAGGAAUGUUAAGCCUUAUGUAGACUAAAACACAGGACCAGGUAUGAUACUUUCUAAAAUGGCAUCCAGCACUUCUCUUAUGGACAGUGAUGUUAUGGACUUAGCCUUAAAAAAAACACAACAAAAACAGACACAAAACCUCCCUGAACAAAUAAAAGCCCCAAACAAAUAAAAAAACCCACCAUGAUCUCUUCAUUUCAGAGAAAGUCAUCAGAGCUCUAACCACCUUCUUCACUUGAUUAAUUUGUAUAUAUGACUUAACAUGUAGGUAGUGAGAAUAAGUCACUCAAAUCCCUCAGAAGAGUUUGCAUAUUUUGUCAAGAUGCUGAGUAACAAAGCUAGGUGUUUACAUUACUUUUCCUGAACAAAGACCUGUUGCUUAUUACUGUGGUGCCUGAUCAUGAUAGCAGGUUGAAACUGUCCUAACAAAGAGGUUUGUAGUUAAUUGGGCACUAUAACCAAUACACAAAUGGCAUUCAAGUACUGUUGUACCAGUACUUGUACUAGUUGUACUUAAAAUACAGGGUUUGGUGAUAGGGUAAUUUAGGAAUGGACAGCAGAAAAUAAUUAAGAAUUUUCAGGCCAAAUCAGUUUUCUGAAUCCAAACCAGACAAUACCAUAAAGGGCUUUUUUGCUACUUAUUUUUUUAUUUUUACAGUUUUCAGCAUUACACAGUGAAAGGCUACUGCCUCUCACGAAACAACUGGCCUGGGGCUAGAGCAGUAAACAUUGUUUUUCACUAGAGGAUAAUGAAGCAAAGGUGUCUAGGUGUCUGUUAACAUGAAAGAAAGAUUAGUGUCUCUUGGUCCUUAAGACUCUGAAGCAGAAACAUAACAUCUCAGUAUUUUUCUUCCCUCAGCAUACUUAUUUUCAGUGGGUUUCAGAGAAAGCUGUGGAAAUGACAAAAUUGACAAGUGGUGCAACUUCUUAGACUCUAUGAUGUCUUGAAUGAGACAUGCUCCUCAAGGGUUGUUUUUUGCUGCUUAGUUUAGGAGGUGAAUGGCAAUAAUCAUAAGAGUAGCAGGCACAAAUAAAAUGUUGAUGAGUACUUCAUAACAACAAUUUCCAUGAAACAGCCUUGACCCUGAUGGAUUACAGAAGCUUAAUAGUUCCCCUAAAUUGUCUGCAAACACCUGAAUAAUGCUGAAGUUACUACAUUUUUAAUCUGGAAAAUGAAGACUCUUUCUAGCUGCUUAGUUUUUUCUAAGUGUGGCCCAUCAGGGAUUUUUGUUGUUGUUGUUGUUGUUGUUGUUGUUAUCCUUUAGGAGUGAGGACCUGACUGCAGAGUAUGGAUUAUUACUUUGACUCAUAAAAUCAAUUAAGAAUGUUAUUUUCUUGUUAAUAGCUAUGCUGUACACAAUAGAUUUAGAAAAAGCUCUCAGAUUUUUGCUUCCUUUUUUCUACACACAAUUAUAAACAUUCUAAAGAAUCAAGCAAUCUUACUGUCUUCAGAAAUCAUGGAUUACUUGAAUCAGUAUUUUGGAAAUUAACUCCUUCCUGAAAUUUCAAAGCAUAGAAGGCAAAAAGCAUGCUACAGGCUUAAGAAGUACUGACUAACAGUGUGAGUAGUGAGAUGGACAGUGGAAAAAAAUCGUUCAGUUAUAUCUACACAUGCAUGCUUUGACCCCUACUGUCAUUUGUUUGAUGUCUACUACAUUUUGCAGUAUGCAGAGCACAAGAAAAGUUUUAACUGAUUUCUUAACGACAAUUCUCCUAACAGUGCAAAACUUUAUUAGUGCUGCAUUGCAGAAACAGCCUUAUAUUGUAUAAACUUUAGCAUAACUGCUUGUCUAAGUUCUAGGGACUGUUGCAGACUUGGAAGGUAACAUUCACUUGCUGCUAGUGUCAGUUCAUUUCCUACUACCCUGGCUUGAAAUCACUUCUCAGCAGGCAAUAAUUUGCUGGUAUUUCCUCCAAUUGACACUGGUCAUGGAAAAGUAACAUUAUAAAGCAUCAUGUGGCCAGAUAGUGCUGUUUUGGAGGAUCUUGUUGAACAUAGGCAGCCCUUUCAGAAAUCUUUUGUCCUUUUGCCAUUUAUAUUGUGUCUGGCUUCAUGUAUUUUUCACAAAAUCUAAAUUAUUUUUUCUUCCCUGUGGUCAUCCGCACUGUACAGGGAAAUAGCUUUUGGUGACAGGAAGAACAGGUGUGGUGGUUUUUUGCUUGUUUGUUUGUUUGUUUUUCCCAAAGCUUUAAUCCUUUUUUUACCUCCUUUAAGCUAGAUGAAAUGUGAAAAUGAAACAAAAAUUUAAAUAUUGAGGUACAGAUGCACGGUGAGAGUAUUUGGGGAACGUUUUCUCCUAUGCCGCAUUUAAAGUAAGUGGGGUACUGACAAUUGCUAUUCAGUUAUCUUGUUAUUUUCAAAAUUUUUUUCUGUGAUUGGUGCAAACGGAGUAUACAAAUACACUGGUAUACUAGGCAAGAGUCAUUUGACAGUGCACCAAUAUAUUUAAAUAACAUUGGAUGUUAUUUAAACUGUAGAACCCAUCAGCCCUUUGGUACUCACAUGACAUAUAUUCUAGUGAAAGUUUUGUGUUCUUAACAUAUUUUUGGAGCAUGGAUGGGCUUUCUUCUUGAAUGAGUAACACUUGGUUACAUCUCAAAAAUAUGUGCAGAUUAAUUAUCAAAUGUAGACCAUUCAACCUCCAGUCACAAAAAUGCAGAAGCAGAGGUGGUUUGAAAGUUAGGGAAUUUAUAAAUUAGUCUAGUUCGUUUUAUAAUUUAGAUCAAAUUUCAUAGACAUGUAUGUGCAUGAAACAUUAUUAUUUUAGUAUUUGUGAUUAUUGCAUUCAGGAAUAUGUCAGGAAUAAACUCAUUACCUGUUUGUUUUAGGGAACUCUGUCCUGACACAACCAACUUCAUUAGCUCAAAUCUUCACUAGUUUGAAUGUGUUGAGGAGCCUUGUGAAAAGAAGCCAUAUAAAAGAAGCUCAGAGGAUUUUUUUUUUUUUUAUCCUUACACAUGUAAACAAACGAUAUACACAUAGAAAACAUUAUGAAUAUCAACUCCUUUUCACAUAGAAAGACUGAGACACAAGGAUAUUAAUUUUUUUUCCAAGUGACUCAUUAUAAGGGUUAAGUUUCAAGUACACACACGUAAAUGUACCUUUCAGUAUGUGCUAUGUCAAUAUUAUAUACAUGACUAAGCCAUAAUUUAAAAAAACUAUCAUUUCACUUCUCACUGUAGUAAAAGAGAUGCUAAUAAAGAUAGAAUUGUACUGCUGUUUUUGAAAUACGGCCAAGAAAUUUAAUAGAAACGUAUGUUGUUACAAUAAUAGGGAAAUAACUCCAAAGAAUUAAAUGUAUAUAUAAUAAAAAAACUUUAUAUUACAAAAUUUUGCAUCAAUAUUAAAAAAAAAAAAUCAAAUUUUCCACCCAGAAGUUUUCAUUUUUAUUUUAAAUAGCCUGAUAGUAAUUCUAGUUUUAUAUUUCUCUUGAUACUUUAAAAAGUCCUGUGAUUUCUAAGUGUAAAUACUUUCAAAGGUAACAGAGAAGACCAGGAAAAGCACUGUAUGAGGACACAUUAUUUUAACAAACCUAGAAAGAAUGUUUUGAUAGUAUUCACAGAUUCAGAUUCACAGAAUGUUAGGGAUUGGAAGGGACCUCGAAAGAUCAUCUAGUCCAAUCCCCCUGCCGGAGCAGGAACACCUAGAUGAGUUUACACAGGAAGGCAUACAGGCAGGUCUUCAAUGCCUCCAGAGAAGCAGACUCCACAACCUCCCUGGGCAGCCUAUUCAAGUGUUCUAUCACCCUCACUGAGAAGUAGUUUCUUCUCAAAUUUAAGUGGAACUUUCUGUCUUCCAGUUUGCACCCAUUGCCCCUUGUCUUAUCAUUGGUUGUCACCGAGAAGAGCCUGGGUCCAUUCCCCUGACACUCACCCUCUACAUAUCUGUAAACAUUAAUGAGGUCACCUCUCAGUCUCCUCUUCUCCAAGCUAAAGAGACCCAGCUCCCUCAACCUUUCCUCAUAAGGGAGAUGCUCCACUCCCUUAAUCAUCUUUGUUGCCCUGCACUGGACUCUCUCCAGCAGUUCCCUGUCCUUCUUGAACUGAGGGGCCCAGAACUGGACACAAUAUUUCAGAUGUGGUCUCACCAGGGCAGAGUAGAGGGGAAGGAGAACCUCUCUUGACCUACUAACCACCCCCCUUCUAAUACACCCCAGGAUGUCACUGGCCUUCCUGGCCACAAGGGCACAGUGCUGGCUCAUGGUCAUCCUGCUGUCCACCGGGACCCCCAGGUCCCUUUCCCCUACACUGCUCUCUAAUAGGUCUUUCCCCAGCUUAUACUGGAACCUGGGGUUGUUCCUAC